UUUGAUUUCAUUGCUGAAACAUUUCAUAUUUCCUUACCAGGGAGGAAGGACAUUUUUAACAAUCACCUCAAGCAGUUAAAAAAGAUCUGGAUCUCCAGUUCAGUUGGACACAACCCUAACUUGUGCUGAGAAUCAAUAUGGAAGCUUGAGGGGCUGAUUGUUGAAGAAAAGCUGAAAAGAAAAAAUAUGUCAUUGAUUCUUGAAAACUUUUACCCAAGGGAAGCUCCUUCUUUGGAGUUCAAAGAAGAACCUAAGCUCUUUGAAAACUGUUCUUGAGAUCACUAGGAAGCUUCUCUGUUGGCCACAAGAAUUGCUCCAAAAAUUAAAACAAAAGGAUAUGAGAUGUCCACAUUUUCUGAUCACUUGGAUCAAUGCGCCAACAUCUUGGGCUGGAAUUUGGAGAAGCAGAUGGGAUAUGCAAGAGAGGUUCCUGGAAGAAACUGGUGGCAGGAUGGGGGUGGGUAGGCCAGCAGGCCAGGAAAAGAGAGACCCCAGGUGAAGGUGUCCUAUCUGGUGGUUACAGCCUCAGUCUGGUCACACUGGGGGCUCACACUGUGAUCCAAAGCUGCAGAUGGACUGAUUUGCAAGGGACCCAGGAGCCACUAGAGCAGUUCCCUGAAAGUAAGGGCCCUGGGCAUCAGGAGAUGUGUCCUGGCACACAGAGGCAUGGCUGGG
This 675-nucleotide long non-coding RNA is filed under the name Heterocephalus glaber (naked mole-rat). RNAcentral's name for it is "lncRNA (ENSHGLG00000047922.1)". Lineage: Eukaryota; Metazoa; Chordata; Mammalia; Rodentia; Bathyergidae. The record is from RNAcentral.